RNAcentral lists this ribosomal RNA (253 nucleotides) under uncultured bacterium. Its description in RNAcentral is "partial 16S ribosomal RNA". It matches the Rfam family "Bacterial small subunit ribosomal RNA", at positions 524 to 776 of the family's 1533-position model. The record is from RNAcentral.
UACGUAGGGGGCAAGCGUUGUCCGGAUUUAUUGGGCGUAAAGAGCGUGUAGGCGGCCGUACAGGUCAGCUGUGAAAACUCGAGGCUCAACCUCGAGACGUCGGUUGAAACCGUACGGCUAGAGUCCGGAAGAGGAGAGUGGAAUUCCCGGUGUAGCGGUGAAAUGCGCAGAUAUCGGGAAGAACACCCGUGGCGAAGGCGGCUCUCUAGUACGGUACUGACGCUGAGACGCGAAAGCGUGGGGAGCGAACAGG